RNAcentral lists this ribosomal RNA (2773 nucleotides) under Klebsiella pneumoniae. RNAcentral's name for it is "partial 23S ribosomal RNA". It matches the Rfam family "Bacterial large subunit ribosomal RNA". The record is from RNAcentral. Lineage: Bacteria; Pseudomonadati; Pseudomonadota; Gammaproteobacteria; Enterobacterales; Enterobacteriaceae.
GGUUAAGCGACUAAGCGUACACGGUGGAUGCCCUGGCAGUCAGAGGCGAUGAAGGACGUGCUAAUCUGCGAAAAGCGUCGGUAAGGUGAUAUGAACCGUUACAGCCGGCGAUGUCCGAAUGGGGAAACCCAGUGCAAUUCGUUGCACUAUCGUUAACUGAAUACAUAGGUUAACGAGGCGAACCGGGGGAACUGAAACAUCUAAGUACCCCGAGGAAAAGAAAUCAACCGAGAUUCCCCCAGUAGCGGCGAGCGAACGGGGAGCAGCCCAGAGUCUGAAUCAGCUUGUGUGUUAGUGGAACGGUCUGGAAAGUCCGACGGUACAGGGUGAUAGUCCCGUACACCAAAAUGCACAGGCUGUGAACUCGAAGAGUAGGGCGGGACACGUGGUAUCCUGUCUGAAUAUGGGGGGACCAUCCUCCAAGGCUAAAUACUCCUGACUGACCGAUAGUGAACCAGUACCGUGAGGGAAAGGCGAAAAGAACCCCGGCGAGGGGAGUGAAAAAGAACCUGAAACCGUGUACGUACAAGCAGUGGGAGCACCUUCGGGUGUGACUGCGUACCUUUUGUAUAAUGGGUCAGCGACUUAUAUUCUGUAGCAAGGUUAACCGUAUAGGGGAGCCGCAGGGAAACCGAGUCUUAACUGGGCGUUAAGUUGCAGGGUAUAGACCCGAAACCCGGUGAUCUAGCCAUGGGCAGGUUGAAGGUUGGGUAACACUAACUGGAGGACCGAACCGACUAAUGUUGAAAAAUUAGCGGAUGACUUGUGGCUGGGGGUGAAAGGCCAAUCAAACCGGGAGAUAGCUGGUUCUCCCCGAAAGCUAUUUAGGUAGCGCCUCGUGAACUCAUCUUCGGGGGUAGAGCACUGUUUCGGCUAGGGGGUCAUCCCGACUUACCAACCCGAUGCAAACUACGAAUACCGAAGAAUGUUAUCACGGGAGACACACGGCGGGUGCUAACGUCCGUCGUGAAGAGGGAAACAACCCAGACCGCCAGCUAAGGUCCCAAAGUCAUGGUUAAGUGGGAAACGAUGUGGGAAGGCACAGACAGCCAGGAUGUUGGCUUAGAAGCAGCCAUCAUUUAAAGAAAGCGUAAUAGCUCACUGGUCGAGUCGGCCUGCGCGGAAGAUGUAACGGGGCUAAACCAUGCACCGAAGCUGCGGCAGCGACACUAUGUGUUGUUGGGUAGGGGAGCGUUCUGUAAGCCUGCGAAGGUGUGCUGUGAGGCAUGCUGGAGGUAUCAGAAGUGCGAAUGCUGACAUAAGUAACGAUAAAGCGGGUGAAAAGCCCGCUCGCCGGAAGACCAAGGGUUCCUGUCCAACGUUAAUCGGGGCAGGGUGAGUCGACCCCUAAGGCGAGGCCGAAAGGCGUAGUCGAUGGGAAACAGGUUAAUAUUCCUGUACUUGGUGUUACUGCGAAGGGGGGACGGAGAAGGCUAUGUUAGCCGGGCGACGGUUGUCCCGGUUUAAGCAUGUAGGCUGAUUGUCCAGGCAAAUCCGGAUAAUCAAGGCUGAGGUGUGAUGACGAGGCACUACGGUGCUGAAGUAACAAAUGCCCUGCUUCCAGGAAAAGCCUCUAAGCAUCAGGUAACAUUAAAUCGUACCCCAAACCGACACAGGUGGUCAGGUAGAGAAUACCAAGGCGCUUGAGAGAACUCGGGUGAAGGAACUAGGCAAAAUGGUGCCGUAACUUCGGGAGAAGGCACGCUGGUGUGUAGGUGAAGUCCCUGCGGAUGGAGCUGAGACCAGUCGAAGAUACCAGCUGGCUGCAACUGUUUAUUAAAAACACAGCACUGUGCAAACACGAAAGUGGACGUAUACGGUGUGACGCCUGCCCGGUGCCGGAAGGUUAAUUGAUGGGGUUAUCCGUAAGGAGAAGCUCUUGAUCGAAGCCCCGGUAAACGGCGGCCGUAACUAUAACGGUCCUAAGGUAGCGAAAUUCCUUGUCGGGUAAGUUCCGACCUGCACGAAUGGCGUAAUGAUGGCCAGGCUGUCUCCACCCGAGACUCAGUGAAAUUGAACUCGCUGUGAAGAUGCAGUGUACCCGCGGCAAGACGGAAAGACCCCGUGAACCUUUACUAUAGCUUGACACUGAACAUUGAGCCUUGAUGUGUAGGAUAGGUGGGAGGCUUUGAAGCGUGGACGCCAGUCUGCGUGGAGCCAACCUUGAAAUACCACCCUUUAAUGUUUGAUGUUCUAACGUUGGCCCCUGACCGGGGUUGCGGACAGUGUCUGGUGGGUAGUUUGACUGGGGCGGUCUCCUCCCAAAGCGUAACGGAGGAGCACGAAGGUUAGCUAAUCCUGGUCGGACAUCAGGAGGUUAGUGCAAUGGCAUAAGCUAGCUUGACUGCGAGCGUGACGGCGCGAGCAGGUGCGAAAGCAGGUCAUAGUGAUCCGGUGGUUCUGAAUGGAAGGGCCAUCGCUCAACGGAUAAAAGGUACUCCGGGGAUAACAGGCUGAUACCGCCCAAGAGUUCAUAUCGACGGCGGUGUUUGGCACCUCGAUGUCGGCUCAUCACAUCCUGGGGCUGAAGUAGGUCCCAAGGGUAUGGCUGUUCGCCAUUUAAAGUGGUACGCGAGCUGGGUUUAGAACGUCGUGAGACAGUUCGGUCCCUAUCUGCCGUGGGCGCUGGAGAAUUGAGGGGGGCUGCUCCUAGUACGAGAGGACCGGAGUGGACGCAUCACUGGUGUUCGGGUUGUCAUGCCAAUGGCACUGCCCGGUAGCUAAAUGCGGAAGAGAUAAGUGCUGAAAGCAUCUAAGCACGAAACUUGCCCCG